Molecule: ribosomal RNA, 501 nt
Filed under: uncultured bacterium
Lineage: Bacteria
Description: bacterial SSU rRNA
Rfam family: Bacterial small subunit ribosomal RNA
Source: RNAcentral
AUUGAACGCUGGCGGAAUGCUUUACACAUGCAAGUCGAACGGCAGCACGGGGCAACCUGGUGGCGAGUGGCGAACGGGUGAGUAAUACAUCGGAACGUGCCCAAUCGUGGGGGAUAACGUAGCGAAAGUUACGCUAAUACCGCAUACGAUCUACGGAUGAAAGCGGGGGAUCGCAAGACCUCGCGCGAAUGGAGCGGCCGAUGUCAGAUUAGGUAGUUGGUGGGGUAAAGGCUCACUAAGCCAACGAUCUGUAGCUGGUCUGAGAGGACGACCAGCCACACUGGAACUGAGACACGGUCCAGACUCCUACGGGAGGCAGCAGUGGGGAAUUUUGGACAAUGGGCGCAAGCCUGAUCCAGCCAUUCCGCGUGCAGGAUGAAGGCCUUCGGUUGUAAACUGCUUUGUACGGACGAACGGUACUGCCUAAUACGGCGGGCGUAAUGACGGUACCGUAAGAAUAAGACACCGGCUAACUAACGUGCCAGCAGCCGCGGUAAACGU